This 731-nucleotide ribosomal RNA is filed under the name uncultured bacterium. RNAcentral's name for it is "bacterial SSU rRNA". It matches the Rfam family "Bacterial small subunit ribosomal RNA", at positions 61 to 841 of the family's 1533-position model. The record is from RNAcentral.
GUCGAGCGCACCUUCGGGUGAGCGGCGGACGGGUUAGUAACGCGUGGGAACGUGCCCAGAUCUAAGGAAUAGCCACUGGAAACGGUGAGUAAUACCUUAUACGCCCUUCGGGGGAAAGAUUUAUCGGAUUUGGAUCGGCCCGCGUUAGAUUAGGUAGUUGGUGGGGUAAUGGCCUACCAAGCCUACGAUCUAUAGCUGGUUUUAGAGGAUGAUCAGCAACACUGGGACUGAGACACGGCCCAGACUCCUACGGGAGGCAGCAGUGGGGAAUCUUAGACAAUGGGGGAAACCCUGAUCUAGCCAUGCCGCGUGAGUGACGAAGGCCUUAGGGUCGUAAAGCUCUUUCGCCAUGGAUGAUAAUGACAGUACCUGGUAAAGAAACCCCGGCUAACUCCGUGCCAGCAGCCGCGGUAAUACGGAGGGGGUUAGCGUUGUUCGGAAUUACUGGGCGUAAAGCGCGCGUAGGCGGAUUGGAAAGUUGGGGGUGAAAUCCCAGGGCUCAACCCUGGAACUGCCUCCAAAACUCCCAGUCUAGAGUUCGAGAGAGGUGAGUGGAACUCCGAGUGUAGAGGUGAAAUUCGUAGAUAUUCGGAAGAACACCAGUGGCGAAGGCGGCUCACUGGCUCGAUACUGACGCUGAGGUGCGAAAGUGUGGGGAGCAAACAGGAUUAGAUACCCUGGUAGUCCACACCGUAAACGAUGAAUGCCAGUCGUCGGCAAGUAUACUUGUC